Molecule: ribosomal RNA, 468 nt
Filed under: uncultured bacterium
Lineage: Bacteria
Description: partial 16S ribosomal RNA
Rfam family: Bacterial small subunit ribosomal RNA (bases 49-468)
Source: RNAcentral
GGGGGGGGGGGGGGGGGGGCGGGGGGGGGGCGGGGGGGGGGGGGGGGCGCGGCGGGGGUGGGGUGCGCGGGGGGGGAGCGGGUGGGUAGCACGGGAGUAACCGGCCCGUGACUUUGGGAUAACUGCAGGACACUGGGGCUAAUACCGGAUAGGCGCUCCUGCUGCGCGGUGGGGGUUGGAAAGUUUCGGCGGUGGGGGAUGGACUCGCGGCUUACCAGCUUGUUGGCGGGGGAGUGGCUUACCCAGGCUUUGACGGGUAGCCGGCCUGCGAGGGUGACCGGCCACAUUGGGACUGAGAUACGGCCCAGACUCCGACGGGAGGCAGCAGUGGGGAAUAUUGCACAAUGGGCGGAAGCCUGAUGCAGCAACGCCGCGUGCGGGAUGACGGCCUACGGGUUGUAAACCGCUUUCGCCUGUGACGAAGCGUGAGUGACGGUAAUGGGUAAAGAAGCACCGGCUAACUACGUG